This 253-nucleotide ribosomal RNA is filed under the name uncultured bacterium. RNAcentral describes it as "partial 16S ribosomal RNA". It matches the Rfam family "Bacterial small subunit ribosomal RNA", at positions 524 to 776 of the family's 1533-position model. The record is from RNAcentral.
UACGUAGGGGGCGAGCGUUGUCCGGAUUUAUUGGGCGUAAAGAGCUCGUAGGCGGCUCUUCGCGUCGGAUGUGAAAGCUCAAAGCUCAACUUUGAGAGGCCAUUCGAUACUGCCGUGCUUGAGGACUGGAGAGGAGACUGGAAUUUACGGUGUAGCGGUGAAAUGCGUAGAUAUCGUAAGGAAGACCAGUGGCGAAGGCGGGUCUCUGGACAGUUCCUGACGCUGAGGCACGAAGGUCAGGGGAGCAAACGGG